This 440-nucleotide RNase P RNA is filed under the name Methanosarcinales archaeon. RNAcentral describes it as "RNase P RNA component". It matches the Rfam family "Archaeal RNase P". Rfam says of the family: Ribonuclease P (RNase P) is a ubiquitous endoribonuclease, found in archaea, bacteria and eukarya as well as chloroplasts and mitochondria. Its best characterised activity is the generation of mature 5'-ends of tRNAs by cleaving the 5'-leader elements of precursor-tRNAs. The record is from RNAcentral. Lineage: Archaea; Methanobacteriati; Methanobacteriota; Methanomicrobia; Methanosarcinales.
AAGAGAGGAAGGGCGGUCGCCGGGUCUUAAUAGAUCUGAGGAAAGUCUCCCCACCGCGAAAAAAUUAAUUUUUUUCUUUAAAAUACACGAACGCUUGUAAAGAGUGUCCGGCGAGAGUCGGGGCAGUUGAAUUUCAACUCAUGUAUAUUAUAUUGCAUGCUGACACAGAAACGAUAUCAUUUUUUAUACAUUUCAACCCAUUAAAAUAAUAUUUGGGGCGAAUAUACGAUGAUGCUUAACAGCUGAUGUUUAAGUAUAAUUGAUGAAUGGAACGGUGAAACCUCGUGGGUGCAAGUCGAAUAAUAGAAAUUUCUAUUGACGCAUAGCCGAAUGCCGUCGUUACAAGACUUUUUAUAGUCUAUUCAUUAUAAGAUUUAUCAAAAUAUAAAUCGAAAUAAGGAUGAAAUGUAAUAACAUAAGGGAGCUUACUCUCCUGACUC